RNAcentral lists this long non-coding RNA (297 nucleotides) under Physcomitrium patens. RNAcentral describes it as "long non-coding RNA (PPAT_LNC009724)". Lineage: Eukaryota; Viridiplantae; Streptophyta; Bryopsida; Funariales; Funariaceae. The record is from RNAcentral.
GUUUAAUGAAGCAAAUCACAAAUGAUAUCACAACACAUCCCAUUCCAAUAAUCAGGCACUGCACAGCAUCAUACAGAACAACUGAGGAAGAUGGAAAACCUCACGUUCUCUGUGCACUUGUGUGAGGGAACAUGGAUUAGGGGGCAAGGAAGAUUGUCAAGGCCCCACCAUUCAUAUGACAACAUUAUCCCAGUGAAGAACCGGAUAUCGAGGCCACAUCGGAUCAGAUGAGGCACGUCAGAUCCGAUGGGGUGGAGUGAUGCCCCAAUAUAUUGGGGCAGUGGGCUCGGUAUUGAA